UACGUAGGGGGCUAGCGUUAUCCGGAUUCACUGGGUUUAAAGGGUGCGUAGGAGGGCAGGUAAGUCAGUGGUGAAAUCUCCAAGCUUAACUUGGAAACUGCCGUUGAUACUAUCUGUCUUGAAUAUUGUGGAGGUGAGCGGAAUAUGUCAUGUAGCGGUGAAAUGCUUAGAUAUGACAUAGAACACCAAUUGCGAAGGCAGCUCGCUACACAUAUAUUGACUCUGAGGCACGAAAGCGUGGGGAGCAAACAGG
RNAcentral lists this ribosomal RNA (253 nucleotides) under uncultured bacterium. RNAcentral's name for it is "partial 16S ribosomal RNA". It matches the Rfam family "Bacterial small subunit ribosomal RNA", at positions 524 to 776 of the family's 1533-position model. The record is from RNAcentral.